UGUCUGUCUCAUCUGGUUCUUUUCACUUUAGGAUGGAUUCACUUGCUGGAGUCAUCCUACCCCGGAAUCAUGUCAGAAAUGUUCAUCUUCAUCCCUGCGGGACAUUAUGAGCUGCCUCCUGGGACCACUGAGGUGAGGGACACUGGAGGGAGACUCCAGCACUCCUGAGUCCAGUUUAGGGGUGGAUGUGUAGCGUGGUCCAACCCGACCUAUUAGCCCUCGGACGUCCCUGUGAAGAGCUGGAUCACUUGGAAUGGAAUUGAGACGCACUCCCUGCUCAAGGCCCCCGAUGUCCCGGUCCAAACGGGGGUUACUGGAGCUGCUGGGGGACUGGGGAUCCGCGCUGAAGUAGAGGGUUGAGCUGGACUCCGUGGGGCAAAAGUAUGGCUCCGGGCUGUCUCCAAAUACGGAUUUGCCCUCCGGUGAGCUGCGUUUGAAAUCGGAUGCGGGUGACUCCAGCGGGCUCUCCAUCUCCAGACUGUCAUCCUCUGCUUGUUCAAAGGACGUGGGUUCACUCACAGUCUGAAAUUCGUCUUUGCAGUCCGAGAGGGGUGCCAAGCCUUUCCCCUGAGACUCAGACAUGGACACACCCUCACAGCUGCCCCCUGCUGUGGUGGUGAUGCCUUCGUUACUCUUAAACUCCUGGUUGUACUCCUCCAUGUCCAGUAUGGCUGCCGCACCACCUGCCCCGUAUGCCCGGUUGAUCUUCCCCAGGUCGCCUGUUUUCAGGGCCAGCCGGAUGAGGAGCCAAUGAUGGUGGUAGCAAGGGCAGGAGCUGUUUGGCCUCCCUCCACAUGAGCUCGGAUGCUCCAGCAGUGAACCAGCCACACCGGAGAGGGAGAAGCUGCCGUGGUUUUGAACACCACCAACCGGCAGGCUUUUGUCCCCGAGUGAGAAGGAGGACUCCCCACGUUCUAUGCACGUGCUACCCAUGUGGUUGCGGUUCAGACCUUGGGCGAUCUCUGUUGACUUGGGGUGGAGGAACCUGUAGUAGAUGACCAGGGAGGUAGCGCCUGGUAACCAUAGAGACAGAGAUUUUUAGAGCCUUUCUUUGUUGAGUUGACUGGACUAAUAUGAUAGUAGGAGUUCUACACAAUUAAGGAAUAUGAGAGUGACUCACCAAGGAUAAAGCUACUCAGGACACUGAUGGGGAGCGUCAUGUUGUCCCAUGAUGCUUCACUCAGUAAGUCAGAGGCGGCCAGCAGUAAAGUGGUAUUCUCAAUCAGCAUGAACUGAAAACAGGAAGGUAAAAGGAAGGUAAAACCAGGCGUAGUUCUAAAUAAUUUUAAAAUCUUUUCUCACCGUAUAAAAGCUGGCCAUGCGGAAUCGUGAUGGUCCGUCUUUGAUGUUAAGAAAGAGGAAGACAUGGACAAGCCCCAGGAGGCCGUUAAAGGCACGCCAACACCAGGGACCGGUGCAGAUGUCUGGUUGCUGCGACACCAGCCAGAAGGAGGCGGUCAGCCAGUGAAAACCUGCAGACCCACCAGUUGAACACCCUGGCAAAGAACAUGAGGCAUGUCACCCUGGCACCCAGCAUGCCAGCUCUCCACACCAGCUGGCACAGAAGGGCUGCCGGAGGCAUGGCAAGGUGGCCUGGCCGGAUGAGACAGCAGGCUCGGCUGUACAGCACCAGGGCCCAGGAAAUAGACAGCACGCAAAGACCACAGGAGUAGGCAACUGGCCAAAAAUGGGUCUGUACCUUUUGAAGAUUCCCAAGUGAAGAAUGUGUAUGGUAGAGAGGUACCAUCGCCUGUCGUCACCGUCAUCAUAAUACCAUUUGACGCUCAGCAGCUGCACCGCCGUGCCCGGGAGGAAGAGUCCGAGAGUGAAGCCGGCCCACCGUGUCUCGUCGUUCCAAAGUUUUCCAAGAAUGAACCAUGUCACCCAUGUCAACCACCCACGUCGCUGUCCACCAACCACCGGUGGAUGAUCUCCUGUUGACAGGUUAUUAUCAUAGUUCCAAGGCCAGGAGGAAUGUCGCUGCACUUCACACGUGUUCACUUACACACACACACACAACAACACGGCUGUUCAAAUCUUAUCCAAACCACCCGCAGGGAUGGGGCCAAAACAUAUCAUGGUGCUUAAGGCAACUUAAAGAUGUAAAGCUUCUUCUUCGUCUGAAUCUGUGUGAGUGAGCUUUUCUUCCAUGCUGAGAAGAUCCAUCCACCUCACAAGUCUAACAUACAGUAUCAAGACUAUUGCAUCGUUGUGCCUUAUGCUGGCCACAAUAAAAGGCCGCUCCAGAAUGCACAGUUUUACAAAUUCUCAAAAAAAUGUGUCGAGAACUGAACAUUCAAUUCAUGCUAUUGUGGACAUUCCUACAGUCAGUAUGCCUUUUAUUGUGGCCAGCCUACAGGAAACGCCUGUAUAAUAAUAAUCCUGCUGUCUAAUCAGCGUCUUCAUAUGCCACACCUGUGAGAUGUGUGUCAAAGGACACAUCUAACACAGAUUUGUGUACAUGAAAAUAAGUUUAGCUCAUGAAAAAUUGACCUUUUAUUGUAUAGGGUAAAUCAGUGUUUCAAUCGGGAGUUGGACACCUAUCAAACACCUUUUGGAAAGCUUGUUUGUUUUGAUAAUAUUAUUACUAUUUUCUGAUGUUUUGUAGAAUUUCAGCAUAAGUAUUUUAAAAUGUAAACUUCUUUCACAAAAUAUUCCCAUUAUCUUGCUGGUAUGGCCUUAGUAUUGUAGAUGAUAGUUUGUCGCGUGGCCGUGAGUGCUUCCUACAGACUUUGUUUUGAGGAGGCGGCGUGCAGCACUGUAAUUUGUCCAUUGAGCAAGACAACAAGAAGAGAACAAUGCAGUGUGAUGAUUCAAGAGCUUUACGGUUUAGGAGUGGCGUGUGUUGUAAAAGGGGAACUUUGAAGGCACUUGGUGACAACAUCAGUGACAUCAUCAGGUGCCAUGGUGUCUGUCUGUGACACUUUUACACAAUCACGCAGCACAGACGCACUCUCCCUCUUCUCUUGGGACCAGUCAGACAGCACUGUCUUCCACCUGUCUCCAUGUCUUACCUGCCCUAGUCAUUAACAGGGUCCCGGAGCCCCACUGUAAGUGCACAUGUCAACAGUGAAAUUACAGGGCGCACCUCGCACACAUAUUUGUUUUGCUUUUAAAAGGGUAAUAUCAGUCUGCACGCAAAGGCUUUACGGUCGUUUUGCUUGCUGCCCUGUCCACCUUUUUACCCAAACCAAAGUGAGGUUCAAAGACAAAAGAAAAGAAGAUGAGGUGAGGGGAUGGUGAACACAUUGGAGAGCAUCAGUCCUGUUAUCUACUGUUAUGUAAGCAUAACAAUAAUCUUAUAAUUCAUAAUUCAUUGGAAAUACUGUGGGGGCAAGAAUCAUUUUCACUUGUUUGAAGAUUUUAUAGGUAUUUGUUGCCAUCCAUUGCUUGUUCUUGUCAGAGGGCACUCUGUUAGCAUAAACUGCUGCUAGCAACA
This is a non-coding RNA of Doryrhamphus excisus (bluestripe pipefish), 3439 nucleotides long. Lineage: Eukaryota; Metazoa; Chordata; Actinopteri; Syngnathiformes; Syngnathidae. The record is from RefSeq and is a predicted model, not a curated record.